UACGUAGGGUCCGAGCGUUGUCCGGAAUUAUUGGGCGUAAAGAGCUCGUAGGCGGUCCGUUAAGUCGGAAGUGAAAUCUCAAGGCUCAACCUUGAAAUCGCUUUCGAUACUGGCGGACUUGAGGCAGGUAGGGGAAGGUGGAAUUCCUGGUGUAGCGGUGAAAUGCGCAGAUAUCAGGAGGAACACCGGUGGCGAAGGCGGCCUUCUGGGCCUGUUCUGACGCUGAGGAGCGAAAGCGUGGGGAGCAAACAGGAUUAGAUACCCUGGUAGUCCACGCCGUAAACGAUGGGUGCUAGGUGUGGGGGGUUAUCCACUCCCUCCGUGCCGUAGCUAACGCAUUAAGCACCCCGCCUGGGGAUUACGACCGCAAGGUUAAA
Molecule: ribosomal RNA, 377 nt
Filed under: uncultured bacterium
Lineage: Bacteria
Description: bacterial SSU rRNA
Rfam family: Bacterial small subunit ribosomal RNA
Source: RNAcentral